This 76-nucleotide transfer RNA is filed under the name Pseudonocardia asaccharolytica DSM 44247 = NBRC 16224. RNAcentral's name for it is "tRNA-Leu". It matches the Rfam family "tRNA". From Rfam's summary of the family: Transfer RNA (tRNA) molecules are approximately 80 nucleotides in length. Their secondary structure includes four short double-helical elements and three loops (D, anti-codon, and T loops). Further hydrogen bonds mediate the characteristic L-shaped molecular structure. tRNAs have two regions of fundamental functional importance: the anti-codon, which is responsible for specific mRNA codon recognition, and the 3' end, to which the tRNAs corresponding amino acid is attached (by aminoacyl-tRNA synthetases). tRNAs cope with the degeneracy of the genetic code in two manners: having more than one tRNA (with a specific anti-codon) for a particular amino acid; and 'wobble' base-pairing, i.e. permitting non-standard base-pairing at the 3rd anti-codon position. The record is from RNAcentral. Lineage: Bacteria; Bacillati; Actinomycetota; Actinomycetes; Pseudonocardiales; Pseudonocardiaceae.
GCCGGCGUACUCCAACUGGCAGAGAGACUCGGCUUAGGACCGAGCCAGUGCGGGUUCGAAUCCCGCCGCCGGCACC